Molecule: long non-coding RNA, 1640 nt
Organism: Macaca fascicularis (crab-eating macaque)
Lineage: Eukaryota; Metazoa; Chordata; Mammalia; Primates; Cercopithecidae
Source: Ensembl
UUUUUUUUUUUUUACUUUGGUAGUGACAAUAUUUAUGCUUAAAGCAGGCUUUUAUUUCAGCCCCCGUUCCUGACAUUGUGAUUAAAGGUGCUUUCCAAUCGCUUUGUCCUCUGAAGGUAUGUUAUCGGAGGUGGUAGACAUUCAGGCCUGGGAGCUGCAUCCUAUUGAACUCCCAGUGUCCAGCGGACCUGCCCACCUGGACAGGCCAAGCCUCCACUGAGAGAUGGAUGUUUCUCAGGCCUCCCCGGGGUCUGGAGCCUGGGUGGCAGCCUCGUCCUGUAGGGCAUUCCGCUCAGGACUUGGGACCUGGGGCCAAACUGCGAAGAGGCUGGAGGCAGCGACAAGGCGGGUGCAGCUGGCCCUCGGCAGUCCUGACCCUGUGCUCCCUCCCUCGGUCCCAGCCUCCACCAGCUUCUAGAGCAAGUUUGUCCAACCUGCAGCCUAUGGGCCACAUGCAGCCCAUGCUGGCUUUGAAUGCCCAACACAAAUUUGUAAGCUUUCUUAAAACAUCACGAGAUUAUUUUGUGAUUUUUUUUUUUUAGCUUAUUAGCUAUUGUUAAUGUUAGUGUAUUUUAUGUGUGGCCCAAGACAGUUCUUCUUCAGAUGUGGCCCAGGGAAGCCAAAAGAUUGGACAUCCCCGAUCUAAAGGUUUUCAUUCCUGUUUCUUUUCUUGAAUCCACCUACCUGCUCAUCUGGGUGGGGGCUGCUCAGGUCUCUGUGUGCGAUCACAGCUGUGGGUCUGGUUAUUUGCCUGCCUCCACACCCCUAAACACACACAUUCCCCACAGCCCUGCGGCAAGAGGGUCAGCCUCUCUUCAGAAAGGAAAAUCAAACAAAAUCCAGGGAAACUGAUGACAUUUCCUUGAAAGCAACAUGUUCCAGGUCUGCUCCCCUCUCGUCUUCCUUGUUGCUCAGUUUUCAGACGCCAGCCAGUCAGUAACAUUAACAUUGACUGAACACUGAGCGAGACGGACACAGAGAACACAUGGCUUAAACCUGCCCGUCGCUGGAGGUAUCGCUGCGCAAGACGGCGAGAAGAAACUGGGUGAGAAAGAAAAACUAGGAAGACAUUGAGAAAGUGAGAAAAGAUUCAUCCACACAGACCAACAGAACUCCAAAAGAAGCCCCACUGUUUGAUAGUGAAGUGCCGUCUUCUCUAAUGAGAAAUUCGCUGCUUUGUGUAUCCAUCCUGAACCCCAGACAACGGUGAGUGAGAAGAGAAACCCCACAGGCUUCCUCUGCAUGCUCCCGGGAUGUGCUGCAGUGUGAGUGCCCGACGGGCUCACGGAAAAGCCCGGAACCAGCUGGGGCCCGUGAUCUGAGCACAGUGUAUUGAAGCCCUGAUGGAAUUCUUCAACAGAUCCUGUCAUCCCCCAAAUCCCCCGACUCCCUGCAACUUCUCUUUCGACUCGCUCACUCUGUAACCAGGCAUCCAUCCCUAUUUGAAGAUUCCUCUCAAGAAGGACAGUGAGGCAGACGUCAGGUUACUGGGCUGUGAGGAGCAGUUGAGAAUGGAGAGUUUCUUACGUAGUUCUCUAAACGUUAAACAAUAAUACGCAACUUCCACCUGUCAGAAAAACUACACACCUUUGUUAGAAUGAUGAGUUUCCAAUGGUUACAUACUAAUAAAUCAACAUCUC